AUUGAACGCUGGCGGCAUGCCUUACACAUGCAAGUCGAACGGCAGCACGGGUGCUUGCACCUGGUGGCUAGUUGCGAACGGGUGAGUAAUCCAUCGGAACAUGUCCUCUAGUGGGGGAUAGCCCUGCGAAAGCCUGAUUACUACCGCAUACGAUCUACGCAUGAAAGCGGGGGACCUUCGUGCCUCGCCCUAUAGGGUUGGCCGAUGGCUGAUUAGCUAGUUGGUGGUGUAAAGGCCUACCAAGGCGACGACCAGUAUCUGGUCUGAGAGGACGACCAGCCAGACGGGGACUGAGAAACGGCACAGACUCCUACGGGAGGCAGCAGUGGGGAAUUUUGGACAAUGGGCGAAAGCCUGAUCCAGCAAUGCCGGGUGUGGGAAGAAGGACUUAGGGUUGGAAAGCAAUUUUGUCCGGAAAGAAAUCCUUGGCCCUAAUACGGGAGGGGGAUGACGGUACCGGAAGAAUAAGCACCGGCUAACUACGUG
This 486-nucleotide ribosomal RNA is filed under the name uncultured bacterium. RNAcentral's name for it is "partial 16S ribosomal RNA". It matches the Rfam family "Bacterial small subunit ribosomal RNA", at positions 30 to 507 of the family's 1533-position model. The record is from RNAcentral.